RNAcentral lists this ribosomal RNA (253 nucleotides) under uncultured bacterium. Its description in RNAcentral is "partial 16S ribosomal RNA". It matches the Rfam family "Bacterial small subunit ribosomal RNA", at positions 524 to 776 of the family's 1533-position model. The record is from RNAcentral.
UACGAAGGGGGCUAGCGUUGCUCGGAAUCACUGGGCGUAAAGCGCACGUAGGCGGAUCUUUAAGUCAGAGGUGAAAUCCCAAGGCUCAACCUUGGAACUGCCUUUGAUACUGGGGAUCUCGAGUCCGGAAGAGGUGAGUGGAACUGCGAGUGUAGAGGUGAAAUUCGUAGAUAUUCGGAAGAACACCAGUGGCGAAGGCGGCUCACUGGUCCGGUACUGACGCUGAGGUGUGAAAGCGUGGGGAGCAAACAGG